CCUACGGGAGGCAGCAGUGAGGAAUAUUGGUCAAUGGGCGAGAGCCUGAACCAGCCAAGUCGCGUGAAGGAUGCCGGCCCUACGGGUUGUAAACUUCUUUUGUCAGGGCGCAAUUGGGUCCACGCGUGGGCUUAGCGAGAGUACCUGAAGAACAAGCAUCGGCUAACUCCGUGCCAGCCGCCGCGGUCAUACGGAGGAUGCGAGCGUUAUCCGGUUUUAUUGGGUUUAAAGGGUGCGUAGGCGGAAUAUCAAGUCAGCGGUAAACAUUCGGGGCUCAACCCCGUCGUGCCGUUGAAACUGAUGUUCUUGAGUGGGCGAGAAGUAUGCGGAAUGCGUGGUGGAGCGGUGAAAUGCAUAGAUAUCACGCAGAACUCCGAUUGCGAAGGCAGCAUACCGGCGCCCAACUGACGCUGAAGCACGAAAGCGUGGGUAUCGAACAGGAUUAGAUACCCCUGUAGUC
This 460-nucleotide ribosomal RNA is filed under the name uncultured bacterium. RNAcentral's name for it is "partial 16S ribosomal RNA". It matches the Rfam family "Bacterial small subunit ribosomal RNA", at positions 338 to 795 of the family's 1533-position model. The record is from RNAcentral.